This 300-nucleotide ribosomal RNA is filed under the name uncultured Caryophanales bacterium. RNAcentral's name for it is "bacterial SSU rRNA". It matches the Rfam family "Bacterial small subunit ribosomal RNA", at positions 113 to 410 of the family's 1533-position model. The record is from RNAcentral. Lineage: Bacteria; Bacillati; Bacillota; Bacilli; Caryophanales.
ACACGUGGGUAACCUACCUAUAAGACUGGGAUAACUUCGGGAAACCGGAGCUAAUACCGGAUAAUAUUUCGAACCGCAUGGUUCGAUAGUGAAAGAUGGCUUUGCUAUCACUUAUAGAUGGACCUGCGCCGUAUUAGCUAGUUGGUAAGGUAACGGCUUACCAAGGCAACGAUACGUAGCCGACCUGAGAGGGUGAUCGGCCACACUGGAACUGAGACACGGUCCAGACUCCUACGGGAGCAGCAGUAGGGAAUCUUCGCAAUGGCGAAAGCCUGACGGAGCAACGCCGCGUGAGUGAUG